GCUUUCUGUCAGAAUCUCGGACUUGAAGCACACUCAAGGUUGGAAUCUCGGACUUGAAGCACACGCAAGGUUGGAAUCUCGGACUUGAAGCACACGCAAGGUUGGAAUCUCGGACUUGAAGCACACGCAAGGUUGAAUCUCGACUUGAAGUACACGCAAGGUUGGAAUCUCGACUUGAAGCACACGCAAGGUUGGAAUCUCGGACUUGAAGCACACGCAAGGUUGGAAUCUCGGACUUGAAGCACAAUUAAAGGUUGGAAUCUCGGACUUGAAGCACACGCAAGGUUGGAAUCUCGGACUUGAAGCACACGCAAGGUUGGAAGGGCUGUGUGACAGGCGCAGCUGUCGCUAUCUAAUUGGUCGCUGAUGGCAGUUGGUAGGAUGUCUGCAAAAUGCCUGCAGCAUCUAGAGGAGCAGCCUCACCGGGACACGCGCAUUCAACUCAAGGAUUUGGAUUAAGAGAUCCCCUAAAGGAGAUUUCAUCCUGUUUAGCAAAAAAACAAAAAACAAAAAACAA
This is a non-coding RNA of Chlorocebus sabaeus (green monkey), 517 nucleotides long. Lineage: Eukaryota; Metazoa; Chordata; Mammalia; Primates; Cercopithecidae. The record is from RefSeq and is a predicted model, not a curated record.